This is a long non-coding RNA of Vitis riparia (riverbank grape), 1052 nucleotides long. RefSeq lists it as uncharacterized. The record is from RefSeq and is a predicted model, not a curated record. The transcript is spliced from 4 exons. Lineage: Eukaryota; Viridiplantae; Streptophyta; Magnoliopsida; Vitales; Vitaceae.
UCAAGAAAACUGGAAAACGAAUCGCAUAUAAAGGAGAUUUGAGAGACAGCCUCACUCCAUGCUUUCCUAUCAGUUUCUCGCAUUUUCCCGAGAAAAUCUCACGUCAUUUCCAAGAAAAAGCCCUACCACCGUAUGGUUUCCAACCUCAAGCUGUGAUAAGAGAUGUUUCCUCCGGCUGACGACCCUCCCGAUCUAGGGAUCCCACCCAACCGCGGCCCUCUGCCCGUCAGGAGAAACCCUAACUCUAAACCUAACCCUCGCGUUCGUUCUGGCCAUCGACGCAAUGCCCGGCCGCAGGGGAUUCGGGGGGUCCGAGCUCACCGAGGCGCUCUACGUGGGAUUCUUGACGUGUUCUUUUAUUGUUACUGCUUUGUUUCGUAUCUGUUUCUCGCAUUUUACCGAGAAAAUCUCACGUCAUUUCCAAGAAAAAGCCCUACCACCGUAUCGUUUCCAAACUCAAGCUGUGAUAAGAGAUGUUUCCUCCGGCUGACGACCCUCCUGAUCUAGGGAUCCUACCCAACGGCGGCCCUUUGCCCGUCAGGACAAACCCUCGCGUUCGUCCCGGCCAUCAACGCAAUGCCCGGCCGCAGGGGAUUCUGGGGGCCCGAGCUCACCGAGGCGCUCUAUAACAAAAUCGGCGUGAUAGAGCAGGAGUGGUCGUUUCUUGACGGAAUUAAGUCUGGGACAUCGUUGAAGUUCGGGUAGGAAAGUUUGUUAAGGAGGUUUGGAGAGCGGGACUGACUCGAUCAGUUGCGGUCAGAAAUGAGGAUCGGCGUUCGGAGGCCUGGGCUUGCUCUUGUGAGUUUUUGCUUUGAGAAUAGAGAAUGUUUGCGUGAGGUAGUGCAUCUGGAAAUGGAUCACGUUCACCCUUCAAAUUUGAGUCUCCCAUUUCUCUCAAGUCAGGACAAAAUGAGAUUGCUCUUUUGAGCAUGACUGUUGGCCUACAAAAUGCUGGACCAUUUUAUGAAUGGGUUGGAGCAGGGUUAACAAGUGUAAAGAUUAAGGGUUUAAAUAAUGGAAUAAUGGACUUGUCUACAUAUCCUUGGACCUAC